Molecule: non-coding RNA, 265 nt
Organism: Empidonax traillii (willow flycatcher)
Lineage: Eukaryota; Metazoa; Chordata; Aves; Passeriformes; Tyrannidae
Source: the annotation of a RefSeq genome assembly
CCCCUGUGGCUCCUCUGCCGCCCCUCCGGCUUCACCUUCGGCGACUACACCAUGUACUGGGUGCGCCAGAGCCCCGGGAAGGGGCUGCAAUGGCUCGCUGGGAUCUGGAAGGAUGGUUCCAGCACCUACUACGCGCCGUCGGUGAAGGGCCGGUUCAGCAUGGCCAGGGACAACGGGCAGAGCUCGGUGACGCUGCAGAUGAACAACCUCAGGGACGAGGAUUCCGCCACCUAUUUCUGUGCCAAAGCUGCUGGUGGUGGUUGGG